AUUGAACGCUGGCGGCAUGCCUUACACAUGCAAGUCGAACGGCAGCACGGGGGCAACCCUGGUGGCGAGUGGCGAACGGGUGAGAAUACAUCGGAACGUGCCCCGUAGCGGGGGACAACCAGUCGAAAGACUGGCUAAUACCGCAUACGCUCCACGGAGGAAAGCAGGGGAUCGCAAGACCUUGCACUAUGGGAGCGGCCGAUGCCCGAUUAGCUAGUUGGGAGGUAAAGGCUCACCAAGGCAACGAUCGGUAGCUGGUCUGAGAGGACGACCAGCCACACUGGGACUGAGACACGGCCCAGACUCCUACGGGAGGCAGCAGUGGGGAAUUUUGGACAAUGGGCGCAAGCCUGAUCCAGCCAUGCCGCGUGCGGGAAGAAGGG
Molecule: ribosomal RNA, 383 nt
Filed under: uncultured bacterium
Lineage: Bacteria
Description: bacterial SSU rRNA
Rfam family: Bacterial small subunit ribosomal RNA
Source: RNAcentral